This 253-nucleotide ribosomal RNA is filed under the name uncultured bacterium. RNAcentral's name for it is "partial 16S ribosomal RNA". It matches the Rfam family "Bacterial small subunit ribosomal RNA", at positions 524 to 776 of the family's 1533-position model. The record is from RNAcentral.
UACAGAGGUCCCAAGCGUUGUUCGGAUUCAUUGGGCGUAAAGGGCGCGUAGGCUGCGGGGCAAGUCGGGUGUGAAAUCUCAGAGCUCAACUCUGAAACUGCACUCGAUACUGCUUUGCUUGAGGACUGGAGAGGAGAUUGGAAUUCACGGUGUAGCGGUGAAAUGCGUAGAUAUCGUAAGGAAGACCAGUGGCGAAGGCGGGUCUCUGGACAGUUCCUGACGCUGAGGCACGAAGGCCAGGGGAGCAAACGGG